Molecule: small nuclear RNA, 106 nt
Organism: Trichosurus vulpecula (common brushtail)
Lineage: Eukaryota; Metazoa; Chordata; Mammalia; Diprotodontia; Phalangeridae
Source: RefSeq, a predicted model, not a curated record
GUGCUCGCUUUGGCAGCACAUAUACUAAAAUUGUAAUGAUACAGAGAAGAUUAACAUGGCCCCUGGCAGUGAUGACAUGCAAUGUUGUGAAUCAUUCCAGAUUUUU